CCUCCAGACUGGCAACUGUAACGGAGCAGGAUAUGUCGGCCAAGGUCGCAUGGUCUCCAGCUACCCAUCCAGUUGGCUCCAGGUACUUCUCCAGGUUUCCAAGAGCCUCGUAUAUGGCAUCUCUCGCGUCCGCAUCCACAUUUCUUUUCCCCAGGAAGAAAACCGGAUA
This is a long non-coding RNA of Schistocerca serialis cubense, 169 nucleotides long. RefSeq lists it as uncharacterized. The record is from RefSeq and is a predicted model, not a curated record. The transcript is spliced from 2 exons. Lineage: Eukaryota; Metazoa; Arthropoda; Insecta; Orthoptera; Acrididae.